RNAcentral lists this long non-coding RNA (445 nucleotides) under Phoenix dactylifera (date palm). Its description in RNAcentral is "long non-coding RNA (PDAC_LNC009756)". Lineage: Eukaryota; Viridiplantae; Streptophyta; Magnoliopsida; Arecales; Arecaceae. The record is from RNAcentral.
ACUUGGAGAGUGGACGUAGGAGCAAGGGUUAGCUCCGAACCACUAUAAAACUUGUGUUUGUGAUUGAUUGUCUCUCCUUCUUCUCAUUUCAUAUUACUCACAGCACAUAGUAAUUAAUUAAAUAACUUGCAAUAGUUUUUAAUUAAUCAUCUAUAACGUUUUAAAUUAUCUAAAUUAUUUUAAAACCCAAUUCACCCCCCCUCUUGGGUUGUCUAUCUGGGCAACAAGUGGUAUCAGAGCCUAAACUCUUCCACCCAAGAGUAAAAGAUCGAAAUGACAACCCCAGUUGGAUCUUCCCACAUUGAGGGUUAGUCCACCCAAAGACCCCCAUUCUUUAAUGGGUCUGACUACUCAUAUUGGAAGGCUAGGAUGAGAAUAUUCAUCCAAGCCCAAGACUAUGAGAUGUGGACUAUUGUAGUAAAUGGGCCAUACAUCCCAUCCAUAU